GGUUAAGCGACUAAGCGUACACGGUGGAUGCCCUGGCAGUCAGAGGCGAUGAAGGACGUGCUAAUCUGCGAAAAGCGUCGGUAAGGUGAUAUGAACCGUUAUAACCGGCGAUGUCCGAAUGGGGAAACCCAGUGUGAUUCGUCACACUAUCGUUAACUGAAUACAUAGGUUAACGAGGCGAACCGGGGGAACUGAAACAUCUAAGUACCCCGAGGAAAAGAAAUCAACCGAGAUUCCCCCAGUAGCGGCGAGCGA
RNAcentral lists this ribosomal RNA (255 nucleotides) under Klebsiella aerogenes. Its description in RNAcentral is "partial 23S ribosomal RNA". It matches the Rfam family "Bacterial large subunit ribosomal RNA", at positions 1 to 256 of the family's 2925-position model. Lineage: Bacteria; Pseudomonadati; Pseudomonadota; Gammaproteobacteria; Enterobacterales; Enterobacteriaceae. RNAcentral also lists the same sequence under 7 other names. The record is from RNAcentral.